Molecule: transfer RNA, 75 nt
Filed under: Tenericutes bacterium ADurb.Bin140
Lineage: Bacteria; Bacillati; Mycoplasmatota
Also listed under: 2 other names
Description: tRNA-Gly
Rfam family: tRNA
About the family: Transfer RNA (tRNA) molecules are approximately 80 nucleotides in length. Their secondary structure includes four short double-helical elements and three loops (D, anti-codon, and T loops).
Source: RNAcentral
GCAGGUAUCGUAUAAAGGUUAUUAUGUCGCCUUGCCAAGGCGAAGAUACGGGUUCAAUUCCCGUUACCUGCUCCA